UCAGAAGUGCGAAUGCUGACAUAAGUAACGAUAAAGCGGGUGAAAAGCCCGCUCGCCGGAAGACCAAGGGUUCCUGUCCAACGUUAAUCGGGGCAGGGUGAGUCGACCCCUAAGGCGAGGCCGAAAGGCGUAGUCGAUGGGAAACAGGUUAAUAUUCCUGUACUUGGUGUUACUGCGAAGGGGGGACGGAGAAGGCUAUGUUGGCCGGGCGACGGUUGUCCCGGUUUAAGCGUGUAGGCUGGUUUUCCAGGCAAAUCCGGAAAAUCAAGGCUGAGGCGUGAUGACGAGGCACUACGGUGCUGAAGCAACAAAUGCCCUGCUUCCAGGAAAAGCCUCUAAGCAUCAGGUAACAUCAAAUCGUACCCCAAACCGACACAGGUGGUCAGGUAGAGAAUACCAAGGCGCUUGAGAGAACUCGGGUGAAGGAACUAGGCAAAAUGGUGCCGUAACUUCGGGAGAAGGCACGCUGAUAUGUAGGUGAAGUCCCUCGCGGAUGGAGCUGAAAUCAGUCGAAGAUACCAGCUGGCUGCAACUGUUUAUUAAAAACACAGCACUGUGCAAACACGAAAGUGGACGUAUACGGUGUGACGCCUGCCCGGUGCCGGAAGGU
Molecule: ribosomal RNA, 610 nt
Filed under: Escherichia coli
Lineage: Bacteria; Pseudomonadati; Pseudomonadota; Gammaproteobacteria; Enterobacterales; Enterobacteriaceae
Description: partial 23S ribosomal RNA
Rfam family: Bacterial large subunit ribosomal RNA
Source: RNAcentral